UACGUAGGGUGCGAGCCUUGUCCGGAAUUACUGGGCGUAAAGAGCUCGUAGGUGGUUUGUCGCGUUGUUCGUGAAAACUCACAGCUUAACUGUGGGCGUGCGGGCGAUACGGGCAGACUGGAGUACUGCAGGGGAGACUGGAAUUCCUGGUGUAGCGGUGGAAUGCGCAGAUAUCAGGAGGAACACCGGUGGCGAAGGCGGGUCUGCUGGGCCGUUGCUGACGCUGAGACACGAAAGCGUGGGGAGCAAACAGG
This 254-nucleotide ribosomal RNA is filed under the name uncultured bacterium. Its description in RNAcentral is "partial 16S ribosomal RNA". It matches the Rfam family "Bacterial small subunit ribosomal RNA", at positions 524 to 776 of the family's 1533-position model. The record is from RNAcentral.